CAGUCGCCACGGUAAUACAGAGGAUGCAAGCGUUAUCCGGAAUGAUUGGGUGUAAAGCGUCUGUAGGUGGCUUUUCAAGUCCGCCGUCAAAUCCCAGGGCUCAACCCUGGACAGGCGGUGGAAACUACCAAGCUGGAGUACGGUAGGGGCAGAGGGAAUUUCCUGUGGAGCGGUGAAAUGCGUUGAGAUUGGAAAGAACACCAACGGCAAAAGCACUCUGUUGGGCCGACACUGACACUGAGAGACGAAAGCUAAGGGAGAAAAUGGGAUUAGAUACCCCGUAGUCCCUGUCUCUUAUACC
RNAcentral lists this ribosomal RNA (301 nucleotides) under uncultured bacterium. RNAcentral describes it as "partial 16S ribosomal RNA". It matches the Rfam family "Bacterial small subunit ribosomal RNA", at positions 509 to 809 of the family's 1533-position model. The record is from RNAcentral.